GGAAAUGGAACGCGUGAGGCCAAACAAGGAACAAUCCCCGGGUUGUUGGCUGAGCCAACAGGCUGCUGUCGCCGUGUGAGCGAACGCGCGGAUUACCCCGAUAGGAGGAAAUGGGCGAUGAUGGGGCGAUAAACGCGCCCGCUGUGUGACCACAAUUGAUUUGCAAUUGACCGAGCGCCGCUCCCGACCCCGCGCCCGCCCCGGUCUCACGGGCUGGGAAGCUCCCGGGGGCCGAGGCCGCGCUCCUCCUCCUGCUCGGACUGGGCGGUCGGUCCCGCUGUUACCCGCGCGGUGAUGGUUGUGACCGCAAUCAGAACUUUCCCUAAAGUAACGGAUAGUUAUUUUAGCACUAAUUUAGUUAACGCCAUUGUGAAAAGUCUUAGGAGAUCGAACAAUGCCCGGUGAAGAAAACAUCUGGCACAGGACUCAGUAAGGGAUAGAGGUUUAAAAAGUCUCCAGUCCUAGAUGCGAUGCUCCAUUUUACGAAGUGACUUUUUUUGUGUGGUGGCUGCUUGAAGUGCACCUUAUUUAAAAAUCUCCACAGAAUGUAAAACUGAGUGAGUCUAGUCGGGGGAGCCGGGCGAGUCUGUAAAUUACCGCUCUGUCAGGAUUCCUCUUGCCUCUUACAAAGUACCUUUUUAUGCUGAACUUAAACUUUACACUACAGAGACAGCAGAUGUGAGGUGAUGGCUUCCAAAAGCAACACAGAUGCUGUAAAAUUUCCAUUGCUAUAUUUCAGCGAGGAAGCUCAGGAGACAUGCUGAAUGCUGCAGUUUAGAAUUACACUGUAACUCUCCUAGAAAUAAGAGAAUACUAAGUUUCUCAACAGUACAUUUGGCUUCAUUUUGGCUGUCAUUCAUAUACUCUUGUUUUCUUACAGCGAGAAGAAGAGAUGAAGCACAAAGAUACUGUGUGUCUUGAAGCUGUUCAGUAAUGACAGAAUUGGUAAUAUGGAACUUUAUGGUAAUUUAGUAAUGACUGCAUAUCCAAAUUCCCCAGUAAGACCAUGAUAAUUUUCAAAAUUGUCUUUCAGGUAUAUAAAACAGCACAGCUGUGAGGAGGCUGCUUUGCUUUAUGUGACUGAAAAGCAGCCUAGUUAGCUCAACACUGUGGAAUCAGAGCCCAUUGUGUGUUCCUCAUACUUGGAGACUUCCCUGAAGUCCCUAGAAGUCCUGUGAUGAAGGAAUCAAGGGUCAAGUCUUUAAAAUGGUUUGUGUGUUUAUUCCAGAAAAUUCAGCAGCUGCUUUUUCUGAAAAGCUGAACUUUGCUAUAGCAAUGGAGAAUACUUUAGAGCACUUUUUCCCCCUGGGAUUUCAAAACAGAUGUCCAGUCAUCAAAUCCUGCAGAAAUAUAAAGCUGGCAAGAAUGUUACAGAUAUUAUAACUUUUUACAAAGUUACAGAUUUGACUUGUUGUCAAAUCUAGUCACUUUCUGACUAGUCUUUGUCACUACAGAUCUUUGCUGCCACAGAUACUCACCCUCUUUUAGUCAAACAAUUCAGUUUGGUACUGGCCCCUCUAACAUAAGCUUAAUUUUUCUGCGUAUCUGAGGGUUUGCAUUUGGGAUUAUAUGGAUCCCAGGUAAUGGUAACCACAGGACAUUUUAGUUCAAAAUAAGUAAAUUUGCUUUUUUUUUUUUAACUGGAAGUAAAAAUGCUGCAUGAAAUCUUGGGUUUAAAAUGCUAUUUUGUUUAUGUAAAAAUAGAGACGUUUAGUUUAUAAGAUUGAAGAAAAAUUGCUUUUUAAUUCCCACUGAAUGUUCUCCAGUAAAUUUUAGUGUGGCAUUGUCUGCACUGGAUAGGUCACUGAAUGGUGCUUUUAUAAAAGCACUUCUUCUCUUUUGAAAAGAAGAACUUGGUCCAUGGAAAUUGUUCAAAUAAUCUUGUUAGAAUGAGGCCUUGACUGAAGGCGGUAAUUUCAUGGAUUAAACCCAGAAGGGCUGGCUGGGCUGAUCUCCUUCCUAUCACAGGCCACAGAGCUUUGUGCAGAGACUGUCUAAGCAAAUGCUGGUUAGCUGCAAGACAUGGGGGAUUUUGCAUGGACAAUACAUUGAACAACACCAUGAAACUGGAAACUGGAACUUUGUGAGGACAGGAUAAAUAGGAGCUGGAAGAAAGAGUAUUUUUACAGGCCAUUUAGGAAACACAGUGAGGUAGAGUUGUUGCAUCUAUGUUCAGAUUUCCCCUAAAAAGUUCCAAUUAAAAUUAAGAGAGACUGGUUUUUUCCCCCCCAGUCAAUCCUUUUCUCUCACAUGCCACAUGUGGUCCAGAACUGAGCAACAUGAUGGCACAUCCAACUCUGGGAAGGAAUUGCCUGGUUUGUACUUCUGUAAGCCUGAAAAGCACAAAUUAUGAGCAAAAAUCCAGUGCUGUGAAAGCUGAGGAGAGAGAUAGAAGAAUACAUUGUGCAUCUGUCUUACAGUCUGAUAUUUUUCCUUUUAUAAAAAUAAAUAAAUAAAUGGCAUUCAUACAUCUUCUGAGUCAGCCUGUACUUUAUUGUGAUUCAUGAGAACUUUUUAUAGGCAAGAACAAUGUUCUGCUUGCAUUUCUCCAGGCAUGUCAGAUCUGAUUGGGGAUGGGCACAGUACCAUGGUGGUGCUGCUGUUGUUCAAUGAGAUACAAGAGAGACUUCAGGAAACCAGAAAAUUGGCUGACUACAAUGUGCUGCCAUAGCUACUGCUGGAGUGCAGUGAGCAGGUGACUGAGGAGGAGAAGGAACUUCUGGAAGAGUACUUUGUUAUUGCUUUGUCAUAAAGGACGAUCACAAAGGGAUUGAUCAGUGCUGUGGUCUGAGUAUUGCUCUGACACUGAAGCUGUGAGUUGUGGCCCUGAAUGUGGCUGGAGGAUUUUCUGCUGACUGUGUUUAAAUUUCUUCCUGAGGCAGCUUUGAGUGCAUUGGCUGCACUAGAGAAGGAGUAUGAGCUGCAGAAUAAGUGUAAGGACUCAGUGGGAGCAGCAGUUUUGCAUGAGGGCAGUAUAAGAUGAGCUCCUAUUGAAGGGCUUUAGCCCUGCUCUCCCACACUGUGCAGUUGGUGAUUGGGCUGCAAAGUAUUGGCACUCUCAGUGUAAUUGUAUAUUGCUUCCAUUCUCAUUAGUGAAACAAUGCAGGAGGAAGGAAUACAAAAAAAUGCAGAUUAUAAAGAUUGUGAAGGAAAAUCAGUGUUCUUGAGGGUUUUUUCUAAAAUGCUGUAUUUUUCUUUUCCCACCACUAGUUAGCAAGCUGCAUUUAUAAUCCACCUGUGCUGCAGAUUGUAAUACCUCAUGGUGUGGUGUUUCACACAUGAUAAAUCAUGGGACUUGUGAAGACAAAUUGCACUGAAUUAAACAGUCUGUUGAUCCAUUGUCACUGGAUGUCAACUGUCUGCUGCUCCAUUGUCAUUGUCUCUAUUUGGAGAACAACACAAACUCCAUACAGUUGAAUUGCUGACCAUAAUGUAUGUGAGGUUAUAUGGACAGAGUGAGUAGUAUUGUCUUCCUCUGAUCACCCAGGUAACCAUGAAUUUACUUUUGGGCUGCUGUUAGAACAUUAGUAUGUAAAUGCACUCCUGAAUCUCAGGAUGGUUAUGUGCAUUCAGGUUGGUAAGGUAUUAACCACUAGUCUGGUUUCUGGGGGUUAAUAUGAGAGUAUAAACUUGCACCACUCUGAGAAUAAACAUGCACCACUCUCUUCUCAAAGUGGAAGCAUGUCCAGGCCUCUGACACACCAGUGACUCCUGCAGUUAUGUAUGUGGUUCUGUCUCCAUGCUCCACCAAAAAUUAGUGUUCAUAUAUGCUGGAAUGGCACAUUCACCAUCACUACUCCCAGCAUGGAGUCCGUGUCUUUGGUCAGUCUUCAGUUUUGGAGACCUCACUUUUAACCACUUGUGUACAAAUCCCUGCAAAGGUUCUGGUAAAUACCCACUGCUGCUGCAUUGCCCCCUGCCUUGCCUGUCUGGAAUGGGCAGCUUCCAAAUUCCAACUCCCACCUGGCCUUAAGAUGGCAUGACCCGCAGGUACCUGGACUUUGAUGUCACAGCUUUGGGGGAAUUAAUGGACUCCAUCAUUAACCUGACCUCCUUGACUGUUACUCAGUCCAUAUUUGGGUGGUAGCAGAUAGGUGAAUAGCACAUUUAACUCUGGUGGUACUGACAGGGUGAAAGGAGGAGCCACAGCAGAGGGGAUGGGGAGUGCAGGGUGUCUCUCGUGGGGAAGUCACGUUUGGGGUGGCUCAGCUGCCACACUCACACAGCUGUGGGGGCACUCCUGGCAGGAAACCCAGCCCAGUCUGUGUGCAGCUCUGUGCCAGCUCACCCAGCCUGGUGGGAGAGGGUUGGUGCAGGGACAAGAUUAAGCAGUGUAAUCCACCUUGAGCCAAGAACUUCUGCAUAAGCUGCACGGAGACAUUAGCUUGCACAUAUACGUCUCACAUGCUGUAAAUUACAUGAGAAACUAAAGAGGUGCUUAUGAGUAAGUGAACUGAUGGAAAAAUGAUGCUUUAUUUUGAAAGCCAUGGAAAAGAAUAAAAACCAGAUAUAAGAAAGCAAAACUUUGUAUGAUUGAUUUGAAGAGAAAUAUGUCACUAAAUCCUUGAACAAUGUGAAGUUGGUCAUCAAUUCUGAUACUACUUUUUGCACCUUGGAGGUCAGUGGAACUGUAAGUUAAGGGAAUAAUAGUUUGAAGUAUACAUUUUUUAUGUUUCACUGUUUCCAAUCCUGAUUUUCGAUGGAUGCCCAGUAGUAAUUUUUAAAAUACUGAAUGAUAAAAUCACAUUUUAUCCAGGAGAUAAAACUGAAAUAACAGAUGUAUCUUUCAUCACUAAUUUUGAAUAUUUAUUCUUUGCAUUUCAUUUACCCUAAACAUUUUUUUUAUUUCUAUAGUUAGACCCUGACUAAUUUUUCACUGUAUUAGUUUUGCUGGGACAACAGUGGCUGGUUAUUCCAAAUAUGAGUAAGGACAGCAAGCUUAGGCUUGUACUAAUUUUGAUGAAUAAAUUUGCCUUGAGAAUGACAAAUUGUGUUAGUACUUUUCACUUUAUUACAUUAGACAGUCAAAGAUGUUAACACUUUGUAGGGAAUGAGCAUUAGGCAGUGUUUGGAACUGCUUAUAGGGAGAUUUCAGGUGCCUGGUCUCAGCAGAAACCGCUAAAAACCUUUCUCUAUUUUUAUUUUAGUAAAAGAAUGGUGUGAUUGAAAAGCAAGAUGUUGAAAGGAAUUUCACUGCAAUAGCAAAAUGUCCUUCCUUUCAUUUUACUCCCUGAGUUCUAAAAUAAGGAUAUUUCUUUGCCAGUUCCUUUGAAUUUUCUUGAUUCUGAGUUGGCAUAAUGAUGGCAGGAAUAGUCCAUAGAGGAAUAAUCCUCUCUGAGUAUGGUGAGGGGAAAGAAAGAAGUGCCCCACUGGCAUGAGAUUUUCUGCAGUUGUCUUUUGUAGGUUCUCAACAGUGUUACAAAAGGUGCAGUCUUGAUUGAUUUCUUGUCUUUUAUUUAUUUUCUUCAUACAUUUAUUUUGCAGUUGGGAUGAGGGGAUGCAAUUGUAUGUCAGGAAACAGCCACAAGGGGAGAGAAAUACUAGAGAUUUAGUUGUAACAUUUUUCCUGGUAGUAUUAGUUGGGUGUUUCUCUGUCUUGGUCUGGUCAGGGCCUGGUUUUGGAUGAAAGGCUUUCAGUUCUUCCAGGGAUUGUGGGGUUCCAAGAAAAGGGAUGAUAAUAGCCAUGUAGGGAUAGCUGAUGCUUUUUAUUGUAUUAGUCUUAUUGGAUUUAUUCCUUCUGGUUUACUUUACUGAAAAGAGAACCCUGAAAGGGAAUAAUAAUUGGAGUAUCUUAUUUUCUUGCCACUUUGCUAAUUUUGCUAUACAUAUUUUUGUAUUAUAGAUUUCUUACUCAGUAAGUGUAGCCAUUGUAUGAAUCUUAUCUUCAUCCUUUGCUUUUGUAAGGUAGGCUGGUUGGUCUUUUAUAAGUUAGGGCUCAUACAUGAAGUUAUCACAUCCAUUCAGCUCUGUUUUUGUUUGGGCUUAGCUCCUUGGCUUUUGAACAGUCCUGCUCACAGAACUGUGAUGGAAAACUUGAAACAUUUUACUGCUGUUUAAUUUGUUUCUGAUUUGUGGGUGGGUGGGUCCAGGUGAUAUCUUUGAAUCUGCAGAUUAGUGAGAAAGACCUUUCUUAACCCAUGAAAUUUCCUGCAUGAAUUUUUGAUAAAAAAAUAAAAAUAUUUUUCUGUUUCUUUUUUGUCUUAAUUUUCCAGGAAACACAACAUGCUUUGACAGAAUUCAGAGGACUUUGGAGGACUUUGUCUGGAAACAAAAACUUGUGGAUUUGAAAUGUGUUACUGUAGUCCUCCUCUGACAUUACAACCUGAAUGCCUGUUGGCCCUGCUCUGCAAGGCUGAGGCUGCCUUCCACCUUUGACAUUUUGCCAUGAUCUUCCUCCUUGAAGGGAGUGCUGUAAAUGGGGAAUCCCUCAAAAUGAUCUGUCCUCAGAAUUCUCAUUUAAAUGUACUAGGUACUAAUUACUUUAACUUCAAGGAAAAGAGAAGAUUACCUCCUGUAAACUUUCUCAUACAAAAUAAUCUGUCCUCCUGUGAUGCUGGUUACUUGAAAAUGUCUGUUUGCUUGAGAAAAGGUUUGUCAAAUCAGUGCCUGAAUCUGCAGUGUUUAACUGCUGGCUUGGGUUUCUGCUCAGCAAUUUGUAUUUGGGGAAUUGUGAUCCUUGAUUUCUGCCAGCCUCAAUGUCAUGAACACAUCCCAUGAGCUCUCAGCUUCUCGUGGGUGACCUCACUGAAAGUUGUAAGUUUUUGGUUUCCUGUGGUUGGGAAUGCAGAAUGCACAGACUUCCUCUGUGUCACUGAGGUUAUUGACCUAGUUUUUAUUGCACCUUUGCAGAAUAAAAUUACUCCUGCACUUCCUCAGCUCUCUCUGUCCCAUCAUAUCUGAAUGCAGCAUUUUGCAAAAAAAAUCCCAAGUGAAGUUGCAACACGUGGAUCUCACAAGAGGAUGCUCUGGAAGGUGCCACACUGUUUUACAGAGCCUUGUGGUGAUGUGAAGCUGUUUGUAGACACGGGCUGGGUGCUAGAGGUGCUUGGGGUGCACUUCUCCCCCAGCUCGACUCGUUGGUUAGAAAAGAAAAGCAUUGUGGUUGUACUUGAAGGAAGAAUUCAGGAGAGGAUUCAGGGAUCUCCUGCCAGGCCUGCAGUGUGUGCUAGAAGUGCUUUGAGAGGUGAGAACUGAUCUGUGCAUCUCCCCGGGGUGUUAAUGGUUGUUUGUUUCACCUGGAACCUGAGAAAAGUGACUGGGCCACUCAUUUGCACAGUCAGCUGCAGGUAAUGCCUUAAGUGAUGACCGAGUUCCUCUUUUGCCCUCUCACUCCUCCAGAUGAGGAGCAGCCAAGCUCUGAAGGCUUAAGCAAAGGUUAAAGGUGUCCUUGAAGUCCUGCCCAGUGCAAGUGCAAGUAUAAAAAGCCAUAAAGUACAUGCUGUGGCAAUGUGAACAUUUUUUCAUAAUUUAAUGAGAGCUUUACUGAUAAAAAUUCACAGUUUCAGUUAUAAAAAAAAAGAAAAGAAAAAAAACCCCAACAAAACAAACCCAAACCAUCCAACCAACAGCGUAAUCCCUGGAAUACAUCCAGCUUUUGUACUGGAAAAGUACCUCAAAGGAGUAUGAUCUUCUCUCUUUAGUGGGAAAGUUUUUUUGCUUAUCUAAAAGGUUUUAUGCUGGCAGAACUGCAUUUCAUUGUCUACUUUUUGUGGCUAGACAGAUCCAGGUAAAGUAACUUAGUUUUAAAGGAACUAGAAACCUUAAUUCCUUUAAAUUAAAUUCCUAAGACAUCCAAAUGUCCAGGAUGCUGUGAAAAAAGGCACAAAAAUUAAAAAUAGAAGCUGAAUAUUUGCUACUGAUAGUUCAUGGCUUUGGAGAGCCAGUGGUGAUGCAGUGUUGUGGCAAAAAAAUCAAUGAAAAAGUAUCAGUUAAAGUUUCCUUUCACAGCUUUAAUUGUAAGAAGUCAGUGCUGACUGAUCUGUUAAUGUUUCAUGUGCAAAGUUGACACCGAGGGGAAGGGAUGGGUGACAUUUCUUCAAAACGUGGUAACUGCAUUUACUUAUUUUGUGGUUGAAGGACAGAAAAAUAAGAGAUGCUGAAAAUGUUUUCUAAAAUUAUGUGACCCUUCAUCAGUGUUUUACAGGUGCUGUUUAAGCCAUCUUUGCUAAAGAGAAGCUCCUUUGCUAUUAAUAUGCUGUCAUCUUUCAAAUCUCAUCAAGGCAGCACCAGGAUUUUUUUGCACAGAUUUCUUUUGACGUACAGCCUCAAUAAAUAUGGAAAUUACAACUUAAAUCUCAUUUUUUUUCUUGCAAAGCAGUGCAGUGCCCAAAUUCACUGAAUUUCCACUUUUAUUUUUUCUUAAUGUUGAAAGACAUAUAUGCAAAUUUUAUUAACAAUAUGCAUGGUUAAAUUUAGCUGCAAAUUCCAGUCAGGGAUUUUUGCUUUGUUUAUUGUCCAAGUCAAUAUGUCUGUGGAGAAAACCUCCUGCUGUGCAGGAAUACAUAGUCAGCUACUUGGAAAAGUAGAAAGUUUAAUUAUGAGAGUUUAUUCUGGAAAAAGGUAAAGCAAGCACUGGUUUUUGGGUUGGGAUUUUUUAAAUUAUGACUUCAGCUAACAGAAAUUCAACAUACGCAGUUUGUUUUGACACUAACUGUUAUCAGACAAACCACUUGAUUUUUCUUUAGCCUGGUCUUCUGUGUAACUGAGAGGCUCUGAAAAAGUAGAGGUCAUGAAUAAAUGAUGCAUUUCUUAAACUUGCAAGGUAGAUCAUGACAUAAAUGAAAUAAAAUCCAAGUGUGAAGGGAAAAAAGAAGCAUAAACACAUGUAUUGCUGACAAUAUCUUCAUUAAAAUAUACGUUAUCCUACAAAGAUAUUAGUGUCAGAUGCAAAUUUCCUUUGUUGCUCUCUCUGAAAUUAUUCUGAUUUUUUGUGUGGUAGCAGUGAAGUACCUUUAUACAAGGCUUCUGAGUGGAAGGGUAAUUUAUUGCCAAGGAGUGUUAUAAAUGAUAGCCAAAUAUAUUCUUGUGUUUGUAACAGAAAGUUCUCCAAGACUGUAGUUACUGAAGUGGUUCCCAUGUGUUCAGUUUUUGACUGAUCCAUAGCCUGGGCUUGGCUUACAGGUUCUACAGUGACACAAAUGGCACAUGAUAAUUGUGUGUGGAGAAAGGCUGGCAGCUUUACAGAGGAAAUUUCUGGACCUGUGCAUAAAUUCAGAACAAGCAACUGCCUGUAGCUUCCCUUCCCCCAAACAACUGAAUCUUUUUACUGAGUCUCAUUAAAUGGUCCUAUGUGUGGGACAUGAAAUGUAUUUAUGGUAGAGUAAGUUUUGUUCUGAGUCACUGGUGCAUCACGAGUUUCUUCACAAUGUUCUUGUGGCUGCCUGCUCAGUGAGACCGACCCAUGAGAGACACAGACCCUGUGGGAGCAGUCCCUGAACCCCACCUGGCUGAGAUGUGAGGGUGCCUAAUUCCUGUAGAAGUCUGUGGUUUUCUCUCUUCUCAUGGUAUUCACAUCAGCAGCAAGUAAUGUUAGAAGAAUAAAGUCUCUCAGGCUUUAUAUUAAGGAUUCAAUUAUUCUGUAUAAUUAGCCCUGAUUUGUUAAAUAUUUGAAACAUUUUCUACUCUUAGGUAUGGAACAGUGUACUGGAGUGAUCAAAACCAUAAAUAACUUGUACCUUUACUCAGAAAAUGCUUUUUUAUCAAAUAAUAAGGAAGAUUAAGCCUAAGUCUCUCCCUUUUUCUGUUUGGAUUUUAUUCCUACAAGAAAUAUCACUUUUGUACACAAUCUCUCAUGUAUUUCUAUUCCCUUGAAAUACAAAGAGGCAAUGGAUUCUGGUAUAAGUUAGGUAGAUUUAAUGAAAUUUAUGAGUUGUAACUUGUGCCUUGAAUAUAAAACGCUUGAGUGAGGCAUAAGGUAUUUUGCUGAUGCCAUUGUUGUCACCUGUCUGGUUUUUUCAUUCUUCUGUGCAUGUUUUUUAAAACACUUAGGAGCUGUGGAGUCUUGGGAAUAGCAGUUUCUAUAUGCCAUACAUAGCAAAUCCUUCCAAGGUCAUCUUUUUUAAAGUGUCUUCUUUUAAAAAAGCAGGGCAGACCUACCCUGAAAAAUGAGAAAAUGGUAUUACUUCCCUACUCAGAAGCUGGCUGUUACCUCAUAUAUAUGCUACUUUCCUGUUUAAUUAGAAAGUGAUUUCUCAUCUGGUGUCAGACAGAAUCAAAAUGUUGCUGCUCAUUGUCACUGGCAAGGAUUACAGGUUUAGUGGAAGUCGCCUCCUUACUGCCCACCCCAGUGAAGUUUUUCCUGUUGAAACACAGAUUCAAUCAUGAGGGAGAAUUGAUCAAAAAGCUCUUAAACCAAAGUCACUGAAAUAUUAUUUAGAGAGGUAGCAAAUUAAUUGGGGUUUUCCAUUUGUUCUAAGUUAUGACUGGGAUGGGCAUUAUAAUAGAAAUUAUAAGCACUCCUUAAUAUGUAAAGAUUGAUGGAAAUCUUUAACCUUUUCGUAAUAACAGAAUAUUAAUCUCUGUAUUUCUCUUUACAUAGACACAUGUAUAUUUUUUACUUAGUAAUAAGAGGUAGUGUUACUUUGAUAGACAGUGUAGAGUAAGGUAAAUUAAACAUCUCUACUGCUGUUCUGAGAACUUAUCUUUUUCUUAAUACAGUGUGAAUCUAAUCUGGUGUACCUAGCUUGUUGUGCAAGUCUGCAAGAGUCCCAAAACAGAAGAAGUUUAUAGCUGUUAACUAAAUGUAUACCAAUGUAAUUAAAGUGCAUUAUCUUAAAAGAAAUCCUUCUGCAUGUGUAUUAAUUCUUCUGGUGAAAGGUAACAUUGAUUAUUAUAAUAUAAACACAUGGAUCUUGCUCUCUAAUUUAAGCUGU
Molecule: non-coding RNA, 10871 nt
Organism: Zonotrichia albicollis (white-throated sparrow)
Lineage: Eukaryota; Metazoa; Chordata; Aves; Passeriformes; Passerellidae
Source: RefSeq, a predicted model, not a curated record